RNAcentral lists this ribosomal RNA (459 nucleotides) under Trichrysis cyanea. RNAcentral describes it as "partial 16S ribosomal RNA". The record is from RNAcentral. Lineage: Eukaryota; Metazoa; Arthropoda; Insecta; Hymenoptera; Chrysididae.
AAUUUACUCUGCCCAAUGAAAAAUUAAAUGGCUGCAGUAUAUUGACUGUACAAAGGUAGCAUAAUAAAUAGUUUUUUAAAUGAAGACUGGAAUGAAGGAGGGGAUGAAAUUUAAACUGUCUCAAUUUUAAUAAUAAAAAUUUAUUUUAAGUUAAAAAUCUUAAAUAAGUUUAAGGGACGAGAAGACCCUAUAGAAUUUUAAAAGUAUAAUAUUAAAUAUUUAAAAUAAAAAUAAAUUAAAUUUUAAUAUUUUAUUUUUUUUAUUGGGAGGAUAUUAAAAUUUAAUAAACUUUUAAUUAAAAUAAACAUUAAUUAAUGAAUUAAUUAAUUUAAAUAUAAAAAUAAAAUAAAAUUACCUUAGGGAUAACAGCGUAAUAAAAUUUUAGAGUUCAUAUUAAAAAUUUUGAUUGCGACCUCGAUGUUGAAUUAAAAUAAAAUUUAAGUGAAGAAGCUUAAUAUU